Molecule: long non-coding RNA, 343 nt
Organism: Lytechinus variegatus (green sea urchin)
Lineage: Eukaryota; Metazoa; Echinodermata; Echinoidea; Temnopleuroida; Toxopneustidae
Exons: 3
Source: RefSeq, a predicted model, not a curated record
GGUCACGUAGUUGUUGACGAGUUGGUGAACUUAGCUUAGAUUUCACGUUAUUCAUGCCUACAUGAGCUGCAUACAACUGCUCUAAUCGCUAGGAUGUGGAUGGACAUUGAUUUCAUUUCCAUUCAGCUGUUGGACUGUACCGGUACUGUAACAUAGUAUGGAUGGUCAAUAUGAAGCAAGCUUCAUUGAAUUCCUCCAAGAGCUCUGUACUCUGUUCUGAUUAUUUUGAAGAUGCUUGCUUUGACUGGACUGGGCAAACGAUUCGUCUUAGACAGGAUGCUGCCCCAACCAUAUUUGAUUUCCCGCCUCGUCUUAAAAAUGACCCAAACCAAGGAAUUCCUGG